Molecule: ribosomal RNA, 253 nt
Filed under: uncultured bacterium
Lineage: Bacteria
Description: partial 16S ribosomal RNA
Rfam family: Bacterial small subunit ribosomal RNA
Source: RNAcentral
UACGUAGGCAGCGAGCGUUGUUCGGAAUUACUGGGCGUAAAGAGUGUGUAGGCGGUGCUCUAAGUUCGGUGUGAAAUCUCCCGGCUUAACUGGGAGGGUGCGCCGGAAACUGGAGUGCUCGAACGUGGGAGAGGAAAGCGGAAUUCCUGGUGUAGCGGUGAAAUGCGCAGAUAUCAGGAGGAACACCGGUGGCGAAGGCGGGUCUCUGGGCCGAUAUUGACGCUGAGGAGCGAAAGCGUGGGGAGCAAACAGG